Molecule: ribosomal RNA, 483 nt
Filed under: uncultured bacterium
Lineage: Bacteria
Description: partial 16S ribosomal RNA
Rfam family: Bacterial small subunit ribosomal RNA
Source: RNAcentral
GAUGAACGCUGGCGGCGUGCUUAACACAUGCAAGUCGAACGGUGAAGCCAAGCUUGCUUGGUGGAUCAGUGGCGAACGGGUGAGUAACACGUGAGCAACCUGCCCUGGACUCUGGGAUAAGCGCUGGAAACGGCGUCUAAUACUGGAUAUGAGACGUGAUCGCAUGGUCAACGUUUGGAAAGAUUUCUCGGUCUGGGAUGGGCUCGCGGCCUAUCAGCUUGUUGGUGAGGUAAUGGCUCACCAAGGCGUCGACGGGUAGCCGGCCUGAGAGGGUGACCGGCCACACUGGGACUGAGACACGGCCCAGACUCCUACGGGAGGCAGCAGUGGGGAAUAUUGCACAAUGGGCGGAAGCCUGAUGCAGCAACGCCGCGUGAGGGAUGACGGCCUUCGGGUUGUAAACCUCUUUUAGCAGGGAAGAAGCGAAAGUGACGGUACCUGCAGAAAAAGCGCCGGCUAACUACGUGCCAGCAGCCGCAGUAA